UAAUACAGAGGUGGCGAACGUUGUUCGGAUUUACUGGGCGUAAAGGGUCCGCAGGCGGCUCGGUGUGUCAGAUGUGAAAGCCCACGGCUUAACCGUGGAAUUGCAUUUGAAACUGCCGGGCUAGAGUACUGGAGGGGAGAAGGGAACACUUGGUGUAGCGGUGAAAUGCGUAGAUAUCAUGAAGAACACCGGUGGCGAAGGCGCCUCUCUGGACUGAUACUGACGCUCAUGGACGAAAGCUAGGGGAGCGAAGAGGAUUAGAUACCCUCGUAGUCCUAGCCGUAAACGGUGUGCACUUGAUGUUGGAGGUUUACCCCCUUCAGUGUCGGAGCUAACGCGUUAAGUGCACCGCCUGGGAAGUACGGCCGCAAGGUUA
RNAcentral lists this ribosomal RNA (376 nucleotides) under uncultured Ignavibacteria bacterium. RNAcentral's name for it is "bacterial SSU rRNA". It matches the Rfam family "Bacterial small subunit ribosomal RNA", at positions 521 to 896 of the family's 1533-position model. The record is from RNAcentral. Lineage: Bacteria; Pseudomonadati; Ignavibacteriota; Ignavibacteria.